This 142-nucleotide small nuclear RNA is filed under the name Pelobates cultripes (western spadefoot toad). It matches the Rfam family "U4 spliceosomal RNA". Rfam says of the family: U4 small nuclear RNA (U4 snRNA) is a component of the major U2-dependent spliceosome. The structure of U4 snRNA from yeast and human has been reported. The record is from RNAcentral. Lineage: Eukaryota; Metazoa; Chordata; Amphibia; Anura; Pelobatidae.
AGCUUUGCGCAGUGGCAGUAUCAGAGUCUCUUGAGGUCAAUCCGAGGCGCAUUUACAAGUAAUUGAAAACUUUACCCAAUACCCCGCCAUGAUGACUUGAAAUACAGUCAGCAUUGGCAAUUUUUGACAGGCUCUGAGGAGA